This 577-nucleotide ribosomal RNA is filed under the name uncultured eubacterium OCG1. RNAcentral's name for it is "bacterial SSU rRNA". It matches the Rfam family "Bacterial small subunit ribosomal RNA", at positions 338 to 916 of the family's 1533-position model. The record is from RNAcentral.
CCUACGGGAGGCAGCAGUAAGGAAUAUUGGGCAAUGGGCGCGAGCCUGACCCAGCCAUGCCGCGUGCAGGAAGACGGCCCUAUGGGUUGUAAACUGCUUUUAUACGGGAAUAAAUGUGGGUAUGUAUACUCAUUUGCAAGUACUGUAUGAAUAAGCAUCGGCUAACUCCGUGCCAGCAGCCGCGGUAAUACGGAGGAUGCGAGCGUUAUCCGGAUUUAUUGGGUUUAAAGGGUGCGCAGGCGGAUAUAUAAGUCAGUGGUGAAAGACCUGGGCUCAACCGAGGUACUGCCGUUGAUACUGUAUAUCUUGAGUGUAGUGGGCGUUGGCGGAAUGUGUCAUGUAGCGGUGAAAUGCAUAGAGAUGACACAGAACACCGAUAGCGAAGGCAGCUGACGAUACUAACACUGACGCUCAUGCACGAGAGCGUGGGGAUCAAACAGGAUUAGAUACCCUGGUAGUCCACGCUGUAAACGAUGAUCACUAGCUGUAGGCGAUACACUGUCUGUGGCUAAGCGAAAGCGAUAAGUGAUCCACCUGGGGAGUACGUCGGCAACGAUGAAACUCAAAGGAAUUACGG